Molecule: ribosomal RNA, 253 nt
Filed under: uncultured bacterium
Lineage: Bacteria
Description: partial 16S ribosomal RNA
Rfam family: Bacterial small subunit ribosomal RNA
Source: RNAcentral
UACGUAGGGCGCAAGCGUUGUCCGGAAUUAUUGGGCGUAAAGAGCUCGUAGGCGGUUUGUCGCGUCUGCUGUGAAAACCUAAGGCUCAACCUUGGGCUUGCAGUGGGUACGGGCAGACUAGAGUGCGGUAGGGGUGACUGGAAUUCCUGGUGUAGCGGUGGAAUGCGCAGAUAUCAGGAGGAACACCGAUGGCGAAGGCGGCAUCCUGGACCGGCAUUGACGCUGAGGCGCGAAAGCUAGGGGAGCAAACGGG